UACGUAGGGGCCGAGCGUUGUCCGGAUUUAUUGGGCGUAAAGCGCGCGCAGGCGGCUUGGCGCGCCCGACGUGAAAGCCCCCGGCUUAACCGGGGAGGGUCGUCGGGUACGGUCAGGCUUGAGGGCGGGAGAGGGUGGUGGAAUUCCCGGUGUAGUGGUGAAAUGCGUAGAGAUCGGGAGGAACACCUGUGGCGAAGGCGGCCACCUGGGCCGACCCUGACGCUGAGGCGCGAAGGCGUGGGGAGCAAACAGG
This 253-nucleotide ribosomal RNA is filed under the name uncultured bacterium. RNAcentral's name for it is "partial 16S ribosomal RNA". It matches the Rfam family "Bacterial small subunit ribosomal RNA", at positions 524 to 776 of the family's 1533-position model. The record is from RNAcentral.